UGGCCGUGGGAACCUACCCUCUGCGAUUACCGUUAGGAUUAGAUUUAGUUCUUAGAGAUUGUUAUUAUGUGCCUGCAGCAAGCAGGAAUUUGAUUUUUGUUUCAUGUUUAGCACAAGAAAGCUAUGUAAUUAGCUUUCAUAAGAACCAUUAUAACAUAUUUUAUGAAAAUAAUAAAGUUGCAAAUGGUUUUCUUAUUAAUGGUCUCUAUCAGCUACAUAUUGAUGUAUCU
Molecule: long non-coding RNA, 230 nt
Filed under: Elaeis guineensis (African oil palm)
Lineage: Eukaryota; Viridiplantae; Streptophyta; Magnoliopsida; Arecales; Arecaceae
Description: long non-coding RNA (EGUI_LNC054903)
Source: RNAcentral